CAUUACCGAGUGCGGGUCCUUUGGGCCCAACCUCCCAUCCGUGUCUAUUAUACCCUGUUGCUUCGGCGGGCCCGCCGCUUGUCGGCCGCCGGGGGGGCGCCUUUGCCCCCCGGGCCCGUGCCCGCCGGAGACCCCAACACGAACACUGUCUGAAAGCGUGCAGUCUGAGUUGAUUGAAUGCAAUCAGUUAAAACUUUCAACAAUGGAUCUCUUGGUUCCGGCAUCGAUGAAGAACGCAGCGAAAUGCGAUAACUAAUGUGAAUUGCAGAAUUCAGUGAAUCAUCGAGUCUUUGAACGCACAUUGCGCCCCCUGGUAUUCCGGGGGGCAUGCCUGUCCGAGCGUCAUUGCUGCCCUCAAGCCCGGCUUGUGUGUUGGGUCGCCGUCCCCCUCUCCGGGGGGACGGGCCCGAAAGGCAGCGGCGGCACCGCGUCCGAUCCUCGAGCGUAUGGGGCUUUGUCACAUGCUCUGUAGGAUUGGCCGGCGCCUGCCGACGUUUUCCAACCAUUUUUUCCAGGUUGACCUCGGAUCAGGUAGGGAUACCCGCUGAACUUAAGCAUAUCAAUAAGCGGAGGAAAAGAAACCAACCGGGAUUGCCUCAGUAACGGCGAGUGAAGCGGCAAGAGCUCAAAUUUGAAAGCUGGCUCCUUCGGAGUCCGCAUUGUAAUUUGCAGAGGAUGCUUUGGGUGCGGCCCCCGUCUAAGUGCCCUGGAACGGGCCGUCAGA
Molecule: ribosomal RNA, 724 nt
Filed under: fungal sp.
Lineage: Eukaryota; Fungi
Description: eukaryotic LSU rRNA
Rfam family: 5.8S ribosomal RNA (bases 192-345)
Source: RNAcentral